CGCACAUUGCGCCCUCUGGUAUUCCGGGGGGCACGCCUGUUCGAGCGUCAUUAAAUCAAUCAAGCCCCGCUUGGUAUUGGGUCUCUCCCGCGAGGGCGUGCCCGAAUGGCAGCGGCGCGGCCGCCGUGAGAAGAACGCAUUGGAAUGUUUCGUUCUUUGCCUCUCGACGUCCGUCGCCGACGAUUUUAUUUCUCUGAAAUUGACCUCGGAUCAGGCGAGAUUACCCGCUGAACUUAA
RNAcentral lists this unclassified non-coding RNA (237 nucleotides) under Lecanoromycetes sp. Its description in RNAcentral is "partial contains 5.8S ribosomal RNA, internal transcribed spacer 2, and large subunit ribosomal RNA". The record is from RNAcentral. Lineage: Eukaryota; Fungi; Ascomycota; Lecanoromycetes.